GGGCAAUUAGCUCAGUUGGUUAGAGCGCAUCGUUUACAUCGAUGAGGUCACAGGUUCGAGCCCUGUAUUGCCCA
RNAcentral lists this transfer RNA (74 nucleotides) under candidate division TM6 bacterium GW2011_GWF2_28_16. Its description in RNAcentral is "tRNA-Val". It matches the Rfam family "tRNA". From Rfam's summary of the family: Transfer RNA (tRNA) molecules are approximately 80 nucleotides in length. Their secondary structure includes four short double-helical elements and three loops (D, anti-codon, and T loops). RNAcentral also lists the same sequence under 2 other names. The record is from RNAcentral.